UACGUAGGUGGCAAGCGUUGUCCGGAUUUACUGGGCGUAAAGGGCGUGCAGGCGGUCUGUUAAGUCUAGGGUGAAAGCUCCCGGCUCAACUGGGAGAGGUCCUUGGAUACUGGCGGACUUGAGGGAGGCAGAGGAAAGUGGAAUUCCCGGUGUAGUGGUGAUAUGCGUAGAUAUCGGGAGGAACACCAGUGGCGAAGGCGGCUUCCUGGCCUGUUCUUGACGCUGAGGCGCGAAAGCCAGG
This 241-nucleotide ribosomal RNA is filed under the name uncultured bacterium. Its description in RNAcentral is "partial 16S ribosomal RNA". It matches the Rfam family "Bacterial small subunit ribosomal RNA", at positions 524 to 764 of the family's 1533-position model. The record is from RNAcentral.